AUACGUAGGGAGCGAGCGUUGUCCGGAAUUACUGGGUGUAAAGGGUGCGUAGGCGGGGAUGCAAGUCAGAUGUGAAAUGUAUGGGCUCAACCCAUGAACUGCAUUUGAAACUGCAACUCUUGAGUGAGGUAGAGGUAAGCGGAAUUCCCAGUGUAGCGGUGAAAUGCGUAGAGAUUGGGAGGAACACCAGUGGCGAAGGCGACUUACUGGACUGUAACUGACGCUGAGGCGCGAAAGUGUGGGGAGCAAACAGGAUUAGAUACCCUGGUAGUCCACACUGUAAACGAUGAAUGCUAGGUGUAGGGGGUAUCGACCCCUUCUGUGCCGCAGUCAACACAAUAAGCAUUCCGCCUGGGGAGUACGGCCGCAAGGUUGAAACUCAAAUGAAUUGGCGGGG
Molecule: ribosomal RNA, 397 nt
Filed under: uncultured bacterium
Lineage: Bacteria
Description: partial 16S ribosomal RNA
Rfam family: Bacterial small subunit ribosomal RNA
Source: RNAcentral